GCAGUGAGGGGUGAGCUGAUGUUCCAAAAAUCCGGUCCUGAAUAACCUAAAAUGAGAGAGAAGCUGAGCAGAGCGAGUGGCCUGUGUGACCAUGGCCACACCUCCCCUUCCAGGCUCUGGGGAGGGUGGCAGCUGCAUCACCAGACCCCUGGGGUCAGAAGCUGAGUCUAGAGUAGGGGGCACUCCAUGAUGUUGCUCCAGAGGUGGGAGAUGGUGGCAGGGUCACUGCUUCCCCUUCCUUCCUCACUCAUGACAGAUGUCACUAAUGGGUCAUGACAUUCUUUCAGGACUCAGAAUCCCUCCCAACAUAGCAUCCCAGGCAGCCAUCGGCGGUCAACUGGCAUUGGUGCAUGCUUUGACAUCUAUUUGCCACAGCGGUCUUCUCUAAAGAUGGGGAAACUGAGGCCAAGAUUGGAGAAGAAACUUGCCCCAAAUCUCACAGCCAAGUCUCAGAUUCAUCCCAGGACCAUCUUCAAGGAAGGGGGGGGGGUUCCCCAAACACUGUGGCAGAGAAGUAUGGAGAGGUGACAGGGAUGAAGCAGGAGUCAAGAGCCAGGACCCCCAUCAGAGCUGCUGCUUUAGGGGUCUUCCAGGGGACCCCAGCCUUCUUUGUCCUCCCUCCAUGCUUAAGUGUCCACCAGGCCCUCCUUGGAAGAAGCCACAAGUAAGCAUCAGGACACCCUUCACCUCAUGAAAAGCCACAGCAGAAGCCAACCAGGCUGUCUGGCCCAGGCAGCUGCCCGGCACUUCGGAGAAACUGAGGCUCAAACCACUCCAGAGAUGACAAGUCCUGUCACCUUCAGGGAGGCGGAGGCCAAAGACAAAACUUGAAGGAAGAAAGAAGAUACUUGGACUCCAGGAAAUGAUCACCGUGGAAACCCAUCUGCUGCUUCUUGUCUACGGCUGUUUGUUCCUCCAGCUCUGGGCUGCCUGAGUGUCUCACAGCAGAAUUAGCAAGUGCGGAGGCUGAAGGUUUCUAGAGGCUCUGAGGUCACAGCUCUCGCUUGAGUGCACAUAACUAUAAGCCAUGAUGAGGAAACUGAGGCUUAGAGAGGUUAAAUGACAUGACCAAAGUGUCAACAGCUAACAGGCAGGAAAGCCAGGACUCAAAUCCGGCAGCCUGUUUCCAGAGUCCACGCUUGGAACCACGGAGCUGUAUUUCUUAACAAAGAAAUCUCACUCUGUCGCCCAGGCUAGAGUGCAAUGGCGCAA
Molecule: long non-coding RNA, 1212 nt
Filed under: Homo sapiens (human)
Lineage: Eukaryota; Metazoa; Chordata; Mammalia; Primates; Hominidae
Description: HSALNT0290925
Source: RNAcentral